CACCCGGGUCCGGGGCGCCGACUCCAAGGCUCCGGAGCUCCGCGGCCUAGAGUGACACGCGCAGAGAGGCAGCGGGGAGGGAGAGAGAGAGAGAGAGAGAGAGAGCGCGGGCGGUGCAGCGGCGACCCCGCGGGCUCACGAGGCCCUGAGAGCGGCGCCACUCACCGAGCAGCCGGCGCACCUCGUCCUCGCUCAGGUGCGCCCAGGCCUUGGAUGUGGUUUCAUAGGAAAAGCCAUGCUGUUCUGUUUAGUGAGAAGAAGGUGUGGUGAGAGGGAUGGAUUCCAUUUGGAGACAAGCUGGCCUCCAUUUGUCAAGCUUCAGUUCCCCGGCACAGAACCCAGUACCCGUAGCCCUGCAGGAAGAGGCUAAGAAGUGGGCAUGAACUGAACAAAAGCAUGCCAUGGGUAAAUGAUGAAAAACACAAAAGUCAGCCAUGGCCACUGCUACCUAGGAGGGAGCCAGGGUUGUACCAGGAAGGACUUGAGGCUGGGAACAUGCUUUAUGAAUGGGGCUGUCUUCUCAAGAAAACAAAGGGGAGGGGACGGUGUGUACCUUUAAGGCAGUGAUCUGAUGUAUACAUUUUUUGAUAAUCCCAAGGAAGGAAGCUGAGUCUUCUAGAGGGCCUUUUAUAUGUCCACAUCUUUGACCAAUGACAUCUUGAGACCCUAUGGUACAAUGCAUCCCAGAGCUGUCAGUCAAACCAGGCUAGGCUCUCGUAUUUACUAAUGGUAUGGCCUUGGGAAAAUUCAACUCUCCAAGCCUUGGUUUCUUCCUUCAUAAAACAGAGGUGCUAAGGCCUGACUUGCAGAGCUUUUACAAGGAUUUAAUUGAAGAAACUAUAAAUAAAACACCUGGGCCGGCACUGGGCAAAUGCCAUGCUUGUUAUUACUGGUGACAUAAUGAAUACUUGCCUGUAACUUCUGUGAAGUUUCACCAAAUACCACCAAACAGUUCAAACGAGGAAUCUUCCAAAAGUUCCUUCACUAACCCAGCGCAUGGCCCCAGAGCCUGUGCACCAGGACACAGGAAUGACGAAGAGCUUCCUUGAGUACAGCGAGCAAUCACUGAUGGCAGGUUUUCAUCAGGGCUGUGAAGGAAAACUUAAAGGGCUCCCUGAGUGUGAUUCCCAAACCAGCUGCAUUACCAGGCAAUUAUAGAAAUGUAGAUUCCGGGCUCUCACUCCAGACUUGGGAAGAAGAGCAACUGGAACUGAGGGGGCCAACCUAUGUUUCCAUGAGCCCUAAAGGUGAUUCUGGUACUGGCCACUCAGUUAAGAAAGGCUUGGUCUCCGCCUCUCCUUUGAUCUGCUGCAGGUGCCUCCACAUCCCCACACCCCUAUCAGCCCCAGGGCGCCUGCCUGCCACUCUCUUUCUCCUCCCUCACUCACAGAGUGUUCCCAACACGCCAGCCAGAGUCAUCCUGUAAAACAUCAGCCUGAUGCGUUGUUGUUCACUGCCAACAUCUUCCUGGCUCAUCCAGAAUAAAAGGCCAAGUGCUUGCAAGACAAGGAAGGCAGGUCUCAAGCCUCUCCCUUCCCUUCUGGCUGUAUCUCCUACCCUCCCUCCUUCAGCUACCAUGGCUACAACUAUGGCUUUCUCUUCCAACCUUGGACACAACCCUUCCUCAGGCUUGGAAUGUCUUUCCCUCGGACAUCCAUAUAGCUUUCUUUCUCACCUCCUUCACGUCUAUAUUCACAUGUUAAUCUCUGAAUAAGAAUAAAAUUACAACACUCUUAUUGAACCCUCAGAUUCCAAUCUCGGGCUCCUCCUCUCGUCACACAGAGGUGUCCACACCAUGUAACCCUCAAGUCCUUUCCUUCCCCUGCCAAGGUGUGGGUGGCAAUUUCUGACAUUUCCCAAAAGUCUCAGCAUCUAGAUGCUGGGAAGCUCCGACCUCAGCCUGAGGUUUCUUUGGCCCCCUGGGAAAAUGAAGGCCACAGUCAUGACCACACUCAACACACCCACCCACAACCUCCCUGGUUUUUCCUGUCACUAUGGUUGCCUUUACUCUUCUCCAGAAGACGCAAUUAGGAAAAGUCGGGAAGUAACGUGGCACUUGGUGUUCGCUACUUAAAAGCAGGCCAGCUUUAGGCUUGAGACUCCGCAGGCGAGUCAGGGGCUGUGAGAUGACAUUGACAGGUGUUCCAUGCCUGGCUCUGGCACAGCCUCAGUGUUUCUGCUAGCUGAUACCCACAAAGAUAGAUAUCCAGGCAGCCCAGAACUCACAGAGCCAGGGGCACCCCCACCCCUGGCCCAGCCUCCUUACAUCUAUUGUAAACAGGACAAACAGCAAAGACGUGCAGGGUAUAAAAUGUGAGCUUUCCCCUUCACAGACAGACACCUUCACUGUUCUUCCCCAUCCCCUAGCUUGGUGCUUGUUCCCAUAGCCCUUUCUCUAGGCAGUUACACACCCGUAUAUAGUAUAUCUAUGUAUGUUUAAAAUUUUUUUCCAUUUCAUACAUAAAAAUCACGAGUUACAUGGUUGUGGUUUGUUUUCUGAGUUUUUUUGUUUUGUUUGUUUGUUUGUUUGCUUGGUUUUGCUUUUUUUUUCUUUUUUGAGACAAGAGCCACUAGCCCAGGCUGAUCUCAAACUCAAUAUAUAGCUGAGGAUGUUCUUGAACUUCUGAUCUUCCUUCCUUCACUUCUUGAGUGCUGGAAUGGCACACCUGCUUUAUAUGCACGCUGGAGAAUGACCCCUGGACCUCAUGCGUGCCCCACAACCACUCCACUGACCAGGCUCUACUCCUAGACCCGAGGUUUGCUGCCGUUUGUUUUGCUGUUUUGUUUUGAGACAGAGUUUCUUUGUGUAGGUUGUCCUGGACUCAAUUUGUAGACCAGACUGACCUUGAACUCACAGAGAUCCACUUGCUCCUGCCUCCCCAAGCGCUGUGAUUGAAAAUGUGCACCACCACACCCACCGGGCACAUGAUUUGCUUCAUUAACUUAUCAAAAUAACUUGAGAUUUUGAGGAGUCUUGUAUGAUAAAAGAUACCCUGUUAGUUAUUUUUAUAAAACUGGUUUCUCAGUUUCUCUCUAAAUCCAGCUAUCACACAAAUAUUUGAGAAUCUAAUAUAUUAUUUUAUCAAGCUUCACAGCACAAGAACUGAGAAGUUUUAACUCUAUUCUUAACCCUCUAAGCUAAUUUGGCUUCCUCCCAGCAUGUAUCCUAGAGAUAUUUGCACUUUGUAGCUUUUCUUGCUGAGGUCUUUCUCCUUGUCCCUCCUGGAUAUCUGCCCAUGGCUGACUCCCAUGGCCGAAUCUCCCUACUAUCUCUUCUAACUCCUUAUUCUCUGGCUGGCAUGCUAUUUUCCUCCCCUGCUCAGUGAUUGGUUCUAAGCUGCUUUAUUGACAUAUCAGGGGACAACUGGGGAGCAGUGUUUACACAACACUGAGACAGGAGAGUCUCAGAACAAGGAUUGCAACCAGGUGUGUGGGGAGGUACAGAAAUCAGCAUUUAAAUUACGUAAUAAUUUUAUGCCUACAUCACCCCCAGGGUACUCCUGAUUGAGAUGGACCCAGAGAGAUCUUAUCUACUCUGGUACUACACUUUCUUGCACACACAUCCUGGUGCACAGAGAUGUUUCAAAGGGUGGAUCCCAUGAAAUGAAAUCACUGUGAUAAAGGGAGCUACAUUUUGAUUUGACACAUUCUUCUCAGUUGCCCUCCAAAAGACUUUACCAAUGUACAUUUCUACCAGAGAGCUUAAUAGGUAAUUGUACUGGUUAGUUGUUGUCAACAUGAUACAAGCUACAGUUACCUAGGAAGAAGCAACCUCAACUGAGGACUUGCCUCCCACAUAUUGGCCUUUGGUCAUGUGUAUAGGGCAUUUUCUUGAUUGGUGACUGAUGAGGCAGGGCUUCGCCCAUUGAGGGUGGUGCCAUUCCUGGUUGCAUAUGAAAGCAAGCUGAGCAAACCAGCAAGCAGCUUUCCUCUGUGGUGUCUGCUUCAGUUCCAGCCUGUAGGUUCCUGCCUUGAGUUCUUUCCUUGGCUUUCCUCCAUGAUGGACUGUAAGCCAUAAGCCAAAUAAGCCCUUCCCUUCCCCAAGGUUUUUUUUUUUUUUUGGGGGGGGGGUGUUGUUGUUUUGUUUUGUUUGAUCAUUGUUUUAUCACAGCAGCUGGAAUAAAAAGUAUUUCAUUAUUGUUUGAUCUUUAUUGUUUUCCAUCACUAGUAAGCUUGAACGUUCUGUACAUUUAUAUCCUUAACGUAACCAAUAUAUACAGAGAGAAAAUUUUAUGAAGUUUGAUUUAUAUUUUAAAGUAUUCAUGGGAUUGGGUGAGAUUUUCAGUGGGUAAAUGUACCUACCAAGCAAGACUGAUGGCUAGCAUUCAGUCCCUGGAACUGACCAUACCUGGGGCUGACCAUCCCUGAAAUUGACCAUCUCUGGGGUUGAUAUAUAGGUGAAAGAGUAACUGACUCCACACGUGUGACAUGGUGUAUGCAUUUCCCCACACAGAGACACUAGAAAUAAAUAAAAUACUGAGCAUAAUAAAGUACUUGUAACUUUUGCAUGGUUUGAGUUGAUUGUAUUCUAACACAUUUAUAUUUCUUUUUCUAUAUUCAUUGUCCUUUGACUUUGCUUACUAUUUUGCCUAAAGUUUGGGUCUUUAUUUCUCAAAACUGACAAUCUUUUCCGUUAUGGUUUCUGUAAGACACAAGAUUAUUAUCCAACUAAUAAUCCUUAUUUUUUUAAUGGUUUAUGUGCUUUUUCUCCUUUAAAAAUUUGGUUUCUUCACCCAUCUGGAAUGUAUGUUUAUGCGUAGCACAUGACACGAUUUUAUUUUUUCCAUAUGGAGGAUCAUUUGUCCAAAACGCCGUGUGUUAUACGUUGUGUAUUGCCUGUUCCACUCAGUAGCUCUCCAGAACUUUAAGCAAAACAGGAACUUUCACCUGCUUCCACCUCCUCCGCCUCUCCACCCCUACACGUAGAGCUCUCCAGGAUUGCCACCACUGGUACCAAACAUUUUAGCCGUAUAUGCAUAGCAACUGAGAGCUUGACAUAUGGCUGGUAGGAAAUGAAAUAGGCUACUAGUAAAAUAUACAUCAGAUU
Long non-coding RNA from Meriones unguiculatus (Mongolian gerbil), 5047 nucleotides. RefSeq lists it as uncharacterized. NCBI's taxonomy places the organism in Eukaryota, Metazoa, Chordata, Mammalia, Rodentia, Muridae. The record is from RefSeq and is a predicted model, not a curated record. The transcript is spliced from 3 exons.